Molecule: long non-coding RNA, 3062 nt
Organism: Cygnus olor (mute swan)
Lineage: Eukaryota; Metazoa; Chordata; Aves; Anseriformes; Anatidae
Exons: 12
Source: RefSeq, a predicted model, not a curated record
GGCCAUUAACAGGAGCUUGCUGGAUUUUGGCUCUGUGUUUAGGGUGAGAAUGAGGUGUGUAUUCAAGAUGCCUCUGUUCUGCACCAAACCCAAGAGAAGGACAAGAAGCGAGGAGACGCGCCCAUUUCAGCAAUGGUGUGUCCUAUGCUCCGAUCCCUGGGAGGAAAAUUCAUUGACUGAAGUUGUGCUGAUGCCAGGGAUGUGGUUACACCCUCAUCAGAGUCACCUGUCUGCUGUUCCUUGAAUGCAGACCCAUCAGUGUACCUGAUGUAGGAAUGAUGCCUGAUACCUACAUGAACAAGUUAUGCUUACAUCCUGUUCUGUAAAAAUGAAUUUGUUGAGCCGUCAAACAGUGCUGUUUGUGAAGUUAGCAAAGUUGUGGAAAAAACAUGGCAGAUAGGGAAGAGUCAUACCAGAAAAGUAAAAGCAGCAACAGCCACAAAUAAAAGCUAAUGUUGUUUGGGAAAAUGAUGCCAGUGGUUACUGACCAGUAAGUAUUGCCCUGUCCUAAAAGUAGGAAACACAACCGGAUUGAGCAGGGAAGUGCUGUGUAUGUCAGAUUAAAAAGCCAUGCAAAACAAAUAAGGGUUCAUGAUAUAGUUACAGAAUACAGCAACAAGGAGCCCAGUACACAUUGGGUUGGAUCCAGAGUUGUUCUGCCUCUUUAUACCAGCAGGUCUAUUUGUAACAUCUGAACUUGAGUAAAUCAUUUGGCAAAAAUACCUUGCAAACUCUUGUCUAAGAAAAGAAAUUAGAAUUGGCUUUGAUAGGAAAGAUGUCAUUUGGGCUGGAAAUGGCAGUAUGAGGCCAAAUAGAAAGUGAUCUGAAGACAAAAAAAAUAAAAUAGAGUCUGUUUGUAAAUAUAUUAUGAUUAUUUCAGCACAAAGAAUGAUUAAGACAUAAUUAUAAAAAGAAAAACAAGUUACUGCAUGAGCAGCAGAACUAGGGCACCCUGGCUGCGGUGUGUUUAGAUGUGGUGCUUGGAUUCACUGGUGUCUUACAGGUUUGCUCUGAGAGCCCCUCCACAGUGCAGGUGGGCUGGUGCCUUGCUGGGACACUGCUAGAGGUGGGGACAGCCAAGCUCUGCCCGCUGGAGUCGGCUCUCUGAUCCCUCCACAGCCAGAGGUGUUUCAGACCUACACAACUUCCAAAUGCAGUCAAGGCCCAAAUGGCCAAGUUUCCCAAAUGUUACGAGGAGGGGACUCAGAGAGGGUGAUCACAUUUCCCACAUCCAUUUAUUGGGAACUCAGAUUUAAAAAUCUUGAGAAGGGUUAAUUCUAAGUGAAAGCUGGAAUGUCACAAGUGAGCAAAAUGCUCUGAAUUUUUACACUCUGCCCCUCUCCUUUGUCUUGUGUCUAAAACACCGUGUCUACACGGAUGGACUACAUAGAGGUAGUAUCUAUAAUGCCCUUAUUUUCAUACCUACUUCUUAGCUAGUGUAUUAGAAGCUUCCCCCACAAAAAGCACAACAUAUUUUUCCAAGGAGCUAUCUGCUCCCUUUCAGUAUAAAGGAUUAAGGAAACAGGGGACUUCUAAACUGAUUAUUUUGGGAUAUAUUAUUUUUUAAAACCACUGUUCUGAGUCUCUAACUGUUGAACGGGUACACCCAUCUCUGAUUAAUAAACAUUGCUUCAACUUCCAGAAUAAUGCAGCUCUGCAAGUCCUGCAGAAUAUCAGGGCAAUGUCUCGGUUGCUGUAGUGGGAACUGAACUGGGCACAAGUGCACUAUUUUUUGUCUGUAAUCAGAUAGUAUCACUGAGUUACAUGGGGUAUCCAUUAGCUUCUUAUGUGAGGAUGCAACUCUUUUUGCAAAGGGUGCAACUCUUUUUAAGGACAUAGGGAAAAUAUAAUAGUGCUUCCUUUUCAUGUCUAUUUACUAUUCUUCUCUGUUCAUUAAUACCAGAAUUUUUGGAGAAGCUUCUAAUACUACUGGAUUUCACAGAAAAAAGGAAAAAAAAAAAAGCGUCCUACAUGGUUUCACACCAGUAGAGAGGUGACAGUACACAUGGACUUAGGAGCAGAAAUCCCCUUAAACAGCAGGAACUAUGCUUAGCUCUGCCAGAAGUUAGAAAAGAGGCUGUUUGUCUGAAGAGACGAGGGUGUGGUAAAAAUAUGCUGUGCCAGUCAAGCCGACCAAAAUACUAUCUGAAUUACGAAGCAAGCUGGAAAACAAAAUUUAACAGGAGACCUGGACCCCACCUGUGACCUCCCAGGAGGGAUGGAGAGAAAAGGACUCCUGGGACCUGCACACGCACAGCUCCCUGCAGGGAAUUCUGCUGUUGGCUUACUUUCUGCAAUCAAAGCAGAAGGGAAGAGGAGGGAAUAGUCUAUGCUCAAGUUUUUGCUACUGGACCAUCUUCAUCCCUGAUAUGGCAUCUGCACUAUGAAAUUGACUCUGAAUGAAUGGGAAUUCGGGUGUCCUCACCUCCUGGAGACAGGACACAACUUUCAGACCGAAUUAGCCUCAGCUGGAUAGUUUUUGAAAUCUCCCCAAGUAACAGACCUAGAAGAUUUUUCCCUCAUGGUGGCCUGGGCUGGACAUUUGGUGGACAGGCUGUCUCUGACAGAAGAAUACAGUUCAUCAAAAGUGUCUGCAGGUUGUCAAACUCGCACUUGCAUAACACUGGUGACAAAGUCUCCGUGAAGUUGUGUGUCUGCAGGAACUGCUCUGGUCACAGGUUCAUCCAAGUGAUCAUGAAAUUCCUGAGAAAGUUAUUACUUUCAAGUCACAGUAACAGAGUAAUUUCCAGUUACCCCCAGUGAAGAGAUUCCUACCCAUCCUGGCAGGCAGUUGUUGAAUUUUAAGGAGCUUCAAAUAACUUUACAGCUUGAAAUUUCAGAUCUACCAAAAUCAGACUGAAAGACACGUGGAAGUACAGAAUCUCCCCAAGGAAUUCAGCCAGAGGGACGCAUGAGUCCACGGCUUUGUGGAUCUUCCUUUACAGGAGUUCCUGCAGCUACAGGACUAGGAGGUGAGUCUCCUGGUCUCAACCAUAAGGAGGAAAAAUGAAUGAGAUUGCCAGAUGCAUGGAGUCUGCAGUCAGUGAGCUGAGAAAAGCAUG